AGGAGAGUCAAAACGAAGGAAGAGCAAGACAGAUGUGCCGUGGCUGUCAUUAGUUAGCAGAGACUACCCACCUUGUGGUAACACAGUGAACUGUAACUGCCGGGUAAAGAGAGUGAGAGAGAAGGAAUGAGAAAGGGAGAGAGAGAGAGGAGAGAGAGAGGGAGGGAGUUUAAACUAAGAGCUAUGUUUUGGGACAAGCUAAUCUGCCAGAGAGCUGUGUAAGGAUCGGAGCACAUUGUGUGUGAGAGUGUGCGGGGGAAAGAUAAGGGAGCAGUCCUACGAGCCCGGCUGCUUGUUUUAAUGUGCUGACUCCGGGGAGAUAAAGAAAAAAUAUUGACUCUCCAGUUGUGUGCCGAGACCCCGGGCACAAGCUCCAGAACUGACAGAGGUGUGCAAAGGCGAAAGGGGGGGAAAAAAAAACAACACAAGAAAACAAUAAAGGAUCUUUCUUUUUAAUUUCAGUUUUUUGGUCCUUUUUUUUUGUUCCGUGGGACUGCCUCCCAUUUCUGCAAGAGAGACAAAGAGAGGGGGGGGGGACAGCAAAAAGAAAGGAAAACAAAAGCCUUGGCAACAAGAUGUUUGAGAUCAGCCGAACACUGAAUGCCGCCUUGUUGAGCAAUGAGCUGUUGCAAAUGUGGCUCUAA
This 644-nucleotide long non-coding RNA is filed under the name Lepisosteus oculatus (spotted gar). Its description in RNAcentral is "lncRNA (ENSLOCG00000021023.1)". Lineage: Eukaryota; Metazoa; Chordata; Actinopteri; Semionotiformes; Lepisosteidae. The record is from RNAcentral.